UAACCCACUGAACAAGGCCAGGGACCGAACCUGCAACCUCAUGGUUCCUAGUCGGAUUCAUUAACCACUGUGCCACGACAGGAACUCCAGUGAUGGGUCUUUAUUGCAGAGGCCGGACUCAUCCCCUGUAAUGUAGGAAAGGGCAAAGGGAAUGGCUGUAAAGUUGGUGUGAGGGGUGGGCUAGCCAAGGGCCUUGAAUUAAAAGAGAUUGAGGCCUGGGACAAGAUAGAGACCCAUGCAGGGGUCCACUUUCUGGGCUGGAAUUGGGAACGGGAUGCUUGAGGAGGCCAGUAUGUCUCCGGGGACUGGCCCUCUGGGAGCCCUCACGGAUCGUGCCUUGAAAAGUGACAUGUGUGUCUGAAAGUCCAAAGGGAAUGAGCAGGUCCUGGCCAGGCCCCACAUCCUGGCCUUAGUGCAUGUGGAGACAGGUGAUUAAAAGGUGUAGUCGGGGUGUCUGUGGAAUAAGAGAUUCCCAGAGUUCUUCACUCCAAAGGGAGGAAUUUUUUGGUGAUGGCUGGCCAGUGUAUGAUCCACGUGAAAAUGGGCCGCUUGUUCAAGGCACCCACUGCUAAGACAGCUGCGUGGAGUUGGGCCCUGUGUGUGGACCUCUGGGUCUGACCGUUGUCGGGGCUGAGGGGCAGGAAGCCUCAGCACUGCACUGACCCCAGUGCUGCUUGCACAGUCCACGAAGUCCUACCGCUAUUGCUCGGGCGGACCCAAGGGGUUCCCCGGGUGGCCAAGGGUCUGGGGGAAGAGUGUGCGGCCACCAGAAGCCAACAAGGACUAAAAGAUGUCAGCCCGGUGUGUCAGGUGGAUCUCCUUGUGAGAAAGGCUGGCUGCGGGGGGCUGAGGGAAGCUUGGAGAGGAGGCAAGCGUGUCCCUUGGGCUGGUGGCAACUGCAGCCGAGAGGCUAGGGCAGGGCACAGAUUGAGCAAAAUGCUUUGGUAGUUGGUUGGGUUGAGUCCAUAAUUUCAGCAGUCUUAGCAUUUGGGUGUGGGGGCCCUAAUGGUGGGGCCAGAGCUGCAGGGCUGUGGAUUCCGACCACGAGGGACCCUUGACUUUCCCAGGUUAAAGAACACAGGAUUGGGCUGCAUUUUCUCUCCUCCGUGCCCUUAGAGUGGUUUUUUCCUUUUCUCCUGCCUCAUUUAUUUUUCUGUUGGGCUUUUUGUCUCUGGAUCCGGCUGGCGAGAGGACCAGGGGCUCUGCUGGCCAGACCAUCCGUCUUUCUGCCCUUUUUCGUCUCUGAAAUCUGGCCCGUGUCUCUAAGCAGGCAGUUUGUCUCGGUCCUGUCACCUCACCGUGUCUGAUGAAAACAAAUCCUGGGCACAAACUUUCGAACAAAGAUGCAAUGCUGCUGCCUUUGAUGAGGAAGGAAGGGGCCAGGUGCCCAGGAACGCCGGGAAUGCGGCUCUAGCAGCUGGAGGGACCGUGGUCCUGCCCACACCCUGAACACACCCAGGGGCUCCUGCUGGCCGAGACUGGGGCUGUGAUGCCAGAGCAGUGGGGACAGCGGGGCCCAGGGCAAAGACGGACAGAGGCACUGCAGGGACUCAGUGGCCUGUGUUCUCAGUGGGCCUCACUCAUGUGCUCACAAGUUUUGAUAAAACCUGCUGAAUGAAGACAAAGUGACCACAGGGGCUCCCACACGGUCGGGUCCCCCGCCACACUUCCCCUCUUGCUGGUGGGGCGCCGGGGGGGCACUUUUGGGGUCUGGCCAAGGGGAAGUUUGGUCGUGGGAACACUGGUUGGGGGUCACUGGGGUACACGUGUGUCCCUCCCAGUUGCUAGCUUAGCGACCUUCACAAAGGACACGCUGGUGCAGAAAACGGCUUCCAGGAACCCUGAAGCAAUUAACCCGGAGGAAGGAGUGAGUCACCCGACUUUUGGAAAAUGGUUAAACAGCCGCUGAUGUAGCAGGAAAUGCUGACAUCAACAAGAGAAUGCAGGCCUACCAGCCAAUGUGACGAGGACACAACGUAAGAAGUUUGGACAGAUCAGGAGGGUAUUUCAGAUUGGUUGUGGCACAAGAAAACUGUGCCACCCUGAAACCUCCCAGCUCAUAUGUGAAGAAACAUGACAAGGUUCUCUGCCGUUGUGAUAAUGGCCUUGACUUUUUUUUUCCUUUGGCCACACCUGAAGCAUGCAGACCUUCUUGGGCCAGGGGCGGAACCCGCAUCACAGCAGUGACAAUGCUGAGUUCUUAACCACCUGCACCCCAAGGGAACUCCUUUUUUCGUGAGUGUCAUUUUUUUUUAUAUAUAUAUUUUAUUUUCCCACUGUACAGCAAGUGGAUCAAAUUAUCCUUACAUGUCUUUUUUUUUUUUUUUUUUUUUUGGUUGCACUCACAGCAUAUGGAAAUUCCCAGGCCAGGUAUCAAAUCAAAUCUGAGCCACAGCUGAGCCCUAUGCCAUACUUGUGGCAACGCCAGAUCCUUAACCCACUGUACCACAGCGGGAACUCCUCCUUUGCCAAUGUCUUAAUGUUUAAUUUGUUGUGAUGUUUUUCUCUCCUUCAGAAUAAAGGUGCUCCCAAUUUUAUCGAAA
Non-coding RNA from Sus scrofa (pig), 2543 nucleotides. NCBI's taxonomy places the organism in Eukaryota, Metazoa, Chordata, Mammalia, Artiodactyla, Suidae. The record is from RefSeq and is a predicted model, not a curated record.